RNAcentral lists this long non-coding RNA (2133 nucleotides) under Lactuca sativa (garden lettuce). Its description in RNAcentral is "long non-coding RNA (LSAT_LNC008040)". Lineage: Eukaryota; Viridiplantae; Streptophyta; Magnoliopsida; Asterales; Asteraceae. The record is from RNAcentral.
AUGGGCUCAAAGAAUCCGCCAAACCUACUUUCUCAAUCCACGUCCAAUUUAGUUCAUCCGGUACAUAGAAUUCCUUUUUCUUAAAUGUUUCAAGCCUCUUUUUCCAUCUAGUCAAAUUAGCCUUGGAUCUAAUUUUUGGAAAGUUGAACCAAGGGAAGUCCCCUUGGUCUCUUCUAGAGCUCUGACCCCUGCUUUUGAACAUUUCCUACAAACCUAACACAAGGAAAAUAAACAUACAAACGACAGAACUUGUUAAAAGAAUAAAUAUCUAGAAACUGAAACAUGGACUCGUCGAGUUCAUGAACGGACUUGUCGAGUCCAUGAACAGAUCGUAGGCAUACUUCUUAUUCGAACCCAGAUCUGCCAUGUAAAUCCAAAAUUUGUUCUAGGGGUUUGUUCAGGGUGAAAAUCCAAAUACUAAUUUACAAACAAUUUCAGUCCAAACACUCUAAUUUAACCAAAAUCAAAACCCUAAAAUUUAUAUCAAAACCAAAAACCAAUUGUUUAACAAAUUCCAACUUCUAAACUAUAAAGAUCAAAACUUUAACAAGAUUAUGCACAAAAAAUGUUUCCUUUUGAGCAAAUUGGAAGAGAAAAUCACGAAAAUUGGAAAUCUUUGCUUGAGAGAACUCUUGAUCGAAUGGGGGAGGGUGACGGCUGUGAAAAGAAAUGAUUGUUUUACCCUCUGUGUUAUUUUAUACUGAAUGCAAUUUUUAUUUUUUAUAAAAUAAUUAAACCAAUUCCUUCAAUGGUUAAAAUAUAUAUAUAUAUAUAUAUAUAUAUAUAUAUAUAUAUAAACAUCAUACAAAUUCAAAAUUAAAUAUACAAAUUUAUACAAAAAUUUAAAUAGAAACAUUUUGGGUGACAUUGUUAUUACUAAAUAGAUUUUUUUAAAUACAAUACUCUAAUUGGAAGUGGUGAUAAUAUGAUGCUAUAAUAGAUAAAUUAAUAAAAGUACAUUGCUAUUUUCUCAUUUACACAUCACCACAAGUAUAAUAACCUUGUCUAAUAAUUACGUGUGUUUCCAAAUCACUAAGGAAGCUCAUUGAAAACAUCCCUAUACAACCCAUAAAUCAUUGCAGCCAUGUGACGUUCAUUCAACAAAAUGGAGGUAUUUUCUUGCCUUCACAAAGUUUAUUUCUUCCCUGUAACGGGAAAAAUAUUCAUUCACCAAAAACUAAAAACAAGGCACCAAAAGUUAAAUUCAACACUAAACGCAUGAGAAAAUUCCACAAAAUUAAACAAUAAGCAUAAGAACAUCUCAUGUCAUAUGCAAAUUUGUAACCAAACAUCAUUACAAUGGACUAUUUAUUGAGAGUUAUAUUACCAUAAACCAAUUGUUCAUUAAAUUUCUUGCAACUAUGAAGUAAUUUUGUAUUCUUUGAUCAAAAACUUUAACUUGCAGCUAUAAUGGAAUCAAGCUUCUAGCAAGCAUGUGCAUAAGAAUAGAGUAGAACAAACAAGGAAUCACAAUGGUGAUGUCGCUGUUGAGCUACAUUAUAGUGAUAUUAGUCAAAAGGGGAGCCUGUCAUCAUUUGUAAUGUUCUUGAAACCAUCGAUUCAAAACAUCACAGAAAACCCAAAAUAUGAACAUUUAAAAACUUUGAUUAUUAAAUCGAUUUUAGAUUUCACAUCAGGAGAACAAUUCGAUUUCAAGAAUGUGGAGUGAUUUUAGAAACUUUAUACCUGACCAAUGAAGAGGAUCAGAGAUCGCCUAGUGGAGACCAACGUUGUCGAGGGCGAAACCAGCGCUGGAGAGGGCGGCGCUUUUGAGUGUGGCACCAGCGAUGUCAGAGCUUGGCGGAGACCGAUUUCGGUUUUUGAUUUUCAACUUUAGGGCAUAGAAAAUGUUGGGAAGGCUGCUGAGACGAAACAAACGGGGAGAGGAGGCUGCUGGGACGUUGACGAUCGGUUGGGCGGUGGCGUCGGCGACGGGAACCAGGCGAAGGGAAGCAGACGCGAACCGGGGAAGAAAACACAGGAGGAAAACACUAGAAUAGGAGAAGAGGAUUCGGGUUAUGUUCGACCGUGUGGUUCAGGGCAAAACAAGAUGUACAUUUUUUUUUAAUUCAGACUUUGUUCCCUAUCUGAAAAAUUAAGAGGUCUUUUUGAUUUGAAGAGGUAAAAAUUAAG